RNAcentral lists this ribosomal RNA (253 nucleotides) under uncultured bacterium. RNAcentral describes it as "partial 16S ribosomal RNA". It matches the Rfam family "Bacterial small subunit ribosomal RNA", at positions 524 to 776 of the family's 1533-position model. The record is from RNAcentral.
UACAGAGGGGGCAAGCGUUGUUCGGAAUUACUGGGCGUAAAGGGCGCGUAGGCGGCCUGUUAAGUCGAACGUGAAAUCCCCGGGCUCAACCCGGGAACUGCGUCCGAUACUGGCAGGCUUGAAUUCGGGAGAGGGAUGCGGAAUUCCAGGUGUAGCGGUGAAAUGCGUAGAGAUGUGGAGGAACACCAGUGGCGAAGGCGGCUUUCUGGUCUGUAACUGACGCUGAGGCGCGAAAGCGUGGGGAGCAAACAGG